Molecule: non-coding RNA, 577 nt
Filed under: Pongo abelii (Sumatran orangutan)
Lineage: Eukaryota; Metazoa; Chordata; Mammalia; Primates; Hominidae
Source: RNAcentral
GAACCACCAGACAAUGGAAUAAGAAAGCAGAACACAGUGUAAUUCUCAAGCACGAAUAUAGUUUAGGUUUGGCAAGAGGACUAGGGGAGACCCGGAGUGAAUGCCACACCCCGGAUGGCCAUGGGAAUGGAAAGCCAAACACCUCUCCAGGGGACACUGAUGAUGACAUGCCAAGAUGUUACUUGGAUUCUGAGGCCCUGGACUCCCACUGGGACACUGACUGGGAGAUUCUUAGAGCACUGAGACGAUUGGCCCUCCACCUUCCCAGCGGCUCUUUGGGAAAAGAUGGCCAUUGCAUGAAGCGGGGCUCUCAAAGAGAAGCCCCAGGUCACCUGUUGCAACAGAAUUGCCUGGGAGCUCCAAGACCCAGCCCCAGCCCAUACCCAAUGAGUCUGAAUCUCCAGGAGGUGCCCGGGCAUCUGCACAUCCAGCAAGUUCCCAGCUUCACAUUGUAGGGCUCCACCUCUCUCCAUCCCCAGGAUUUUCAGGGGCACAGCAAAGUGUCCACCAUGAGCUGCCUUCACCCCAGCCCUUGGGACCAUGUGGGAACCGGGUGGGAACUCUGGGAUCCUGCGAC